RNAcentral lists this ribosomal RNA (246 nucleotides) under uncultured bacterium. Its description in RNAcentral is "partial 16S ribosomal RNA". It matches the Rfam family "Bacterial small subunit ribosomal RNA", at positions 523 to 769 of the family's 1533-position model. The record is from RNAcentral.
AUACGUAGGGGGCGAGCGUUGUCCGGAUUUACUGGGCAUAAAGGGUGAGUAGGCGGUUAUGUAUGUCAGGUGUAAAAGGCGUAGGCUUAACUUACGUUAGCAUUUGAAACUGCAUAACUUGAGUGCAGGAGAGGUAAGUGGAAUUCCUAGUGUAGCGGUGAAAUGCGUAGAUAUUAGGAGGAACACCAGUGGCGAAGGCGACUUACUGGACUGUAACUGACGCUGAGUCACGAAAGCGUGGGGAGC